Oryza glumipatula is the source of this 204-nucleotide non-coding RNA. Lineage: Eukaryota; Viridiplantae; Streptophyta; Magnoliopsida; Poales; Poaceae. The record is from Rfam.
AAAAAAUUAAACCCUGUGUUUUCGUGUCCAACGUUUGACCAUCCAUCUUAUUUAAAAAAAUUAUAAAAAAAUUAAAAAAACAAGUUAUGCAUAAAGUAUUAAUUAUAUUUUAUAUUUAAUAACAAUGAAAAUACUAAUUAUAAAAAAAUUUCAUAUAAGACGGAUAGUCAAACGUUGACACAGAAACCUAGGGUUUGUUUUUUU